This 1717-nucleotide ribosomal RNA is filed under the name Klebsiella michiganensis. RNAcentral describes it as "partial 23S ribosomal RNA". It matches the Rfam family "Bacterial large subunit ribosomal RNA", at positions 1 to 1759 of the family's 2925-position model. Lineage: Bacteria; Pseudomonadati; Pseudomonadota; Gammaproteobacteria; Enterobacterales; Enterobacteriaceae. The record is from RNAcentral.
GGUUAAGCGACUAAGCGUACACGGUGGAUGCCCUGGCAGUCAGAGGCGAUGAAGGACGUGCUAAUCUGCGAAAAGCGUCGGUAAGGUGAUAUGAACCGUUACAGCCGGCGAUGUCCGAAUGGGGAAACCCAGUGCAAUUCGUUGCACUAUCGUUAACUGAAUACAUAGGUUAACGAGGCGAACCGGGGGAACUGAAACAUCUAAGUACCCCGAGGAAAAGAAAUCAACCGAGAUUCCCCCAGUAGCGGCGAGCGAACGGGGAGCAGCCCGGAGUCUGAAUCAGCUUGUGUGUUAGUGGAAGCGUCUGGAAAGUCGCAGGGUACAGGGUGAUACUCCCGUACACUAAAACACACAGGUUGUGAACUCGAAGAGUAGGGCGGGACACGUGGUAUCCUGUCUGAAUAUGGGGGGACCAUCCUCCAAGGCUAAAUACUCCUGACUGACCGAUAGUGAACCAGUACCGUGAGGGAAAGGCGAAAAGAACCCCGGCGAGGGGAGUGAAAAAGAACCUGAAACCGUGUACGUACAAGCAGUAGGAGCCCACUGGUUGGGUGACUGCGUACCUUUUGUAUAAUGGGUCAGCGACUUAUAUUCUGUAGCAAGGUUAACCGUAUAGGGGAGCCGCAGGGAAACCGAGUCUUAACUGGGCGUUAAGUUGCAGGGUAUAGACCCGAAACCCGGUGAUCUAGCCAUGGGCAGGUUGAAGGUUGGGUAACACUAACUGGAGGACCGAACCGACUAAUGUUGAAAAAUUAGCGGAUGACUUGUGGCUGGGGGUGAAAGGCCAAUCAAACCGGGAGAUAGCUGGUUCUCCCCGAAAGCUAUUUAGGUAGCGCCUCGUGAACUCAUCUUCGGGGGUAGAGCACUGUUUCGGCUAGGGGGUCAUCCCGACUUACCAACCCGAUGCAAACUACGAAUACCGAAGAAUGUUAUCACGGGAGACACACGGCGGGUGCUAACGUCCGUCGUGAAGAGGGAAACAACCCAGACCGCCAGCUAAGGUCCCAAAGUCAUGGUUAAGUGGGAAACGAUGUGGGAAGGCCCAGACAGCCAGGAUGUUGGCUUAGAAGCAGCCAUCAUUUAAAGAAAGCGUAAUAGCUCACUGGUCGAGUCGGCCUGCGCGGAAGAUGUAACGGGGCUAAACCAUGCACCGAAGCUGCGGCAGCGACACUAUGUGUUGUUGGGUAGGGGAGCGUUCUGUAAGCCGUUGAAGGUGGCCUGUGAGGGUUGCUGGAGGUAUCAGAAGUGCGAAUGCUGACAUAAGUAACGAUAAUGCGGGUGAAAAACCCGCACGCCGGAAGACCAAGGGUUCCUGUCCAACGUUAAUCGGGGCAGGGUGAGUCGACCCCUAAGGCGAGGCCGAAAGGCGUAGUCGAUGGGAAACAGGUUAAUAUUCCUGUACUCGGUGUUACUGCGAAGGGGGGACGGAGAAGGCUAUGUUGGCCGGGCGACGGUUGUCCCGGUUUAAGCAUGUAGGCGGAUGUUCCAGGUAAAUCCGGAACGUCACUAACGCUGAGGUGUGAUGACGAGGCACUACGGUGCUGAAGUGACAAAUGCCCUGCUUCCAGGAAAAGCCUCUAAGCAUCAGGUAACAUCAAAUCGUACCCCAAACCGACACAGGUGGUCAGGUAGAGAAUACCAAGGCGCUUGAGAGAACUCGGGUGAAGGAACUAGGCAAAAUGGUGCCGUAACUUCGGGAGAAGGCACGCUGAUGGUA